CAGUAGCCGCGGGAAUACGUGGGUGGCAAGCGUUGUCCGGAAUUAUUGGGCGUAAAGCGAGCGCAAGCGGUUAGAUAAGUCUGAAGUUAAAGGCUGUGGCUUAACCAUAGUACGCUUUGGAAACUGUUUAACUUGAGUGCAGAAGGGGAGAGUGGAAUUCCAUGUGUAGCGGUGAAAUGCGUAGAUAUAUGGAGGAACACCGGUGGCGAAAGCGGCUCUCUGGUCUGUAACUGACGCUGAGGCUCGAAAGCGUGGGGAGCAAACAGGAUUAGAUACCCCAGUAGUCCCUGUCUCUUAUACC
This 301-nucleotide ribosomal RNA is filed under the name uncultured bacterium. RNAcentral's name for it is "partial 16S ribosomal RNA". It matches the Rfam family "Bacterial small subunit ribosomal RNA", at positions 509 to 808 of the family's 1533-position model. The record is from RNAcentral.